UGAAUCUUGAUGUUACUUGUUAUAGCUAAUGGGUGGCGCCACAAAAUAACGAUACAGUGAAACAUAAUCUCAAACUAGUCAAACUGUAGUAUAUACGAAUUUUUCGAUAAGUGCUUUUAACUUAACACAAAGUCAUUUCAACAUUUCAAGUAAUUGUUAAUAAUAUGUCAAAAUCGUAGAAAAUUUUGAUGAGUGGAUAGUAUUUUAGUUCAAUACUUACGAGAUCUCCCUACGUGAUUACGAAACAACAAUUUUCUACGUAAGGAACCAUCAUUGUCAUCUUUUGACGUUGGCUUCAGGAGGACUUUUUGAGUUCACACUAAAAAACUAAAAAAAAUUUAGUCUGUAUAAGGUUUUGGACCUCCUGCCAGACUCAUUCUUUACUGCAUCGCUAAGUAAUCGCAUUGCAAGCAGAAGAGAUGAAGAUAAAGCAGUGUUAUUUGACAGAGACCCAAA
Molecule: long non-coding RNA, 456 nt
Organism: Nasonia vitripennis (jewel wasp)
Lineage: Eukaryota; Metazoa; Arthropoda; Insecta; Hymenoptera; Pteromalidae
Exons: 3
Source: RefSeq, a predicted model, not a curated record